RNAcentral lists this long non-coding RNA (1541 nucleotides) under Homo sapiens (human). RNAcentral's name for it is "HSALNT0357832". The record is from RNAcentral. Lineage: Eukaryota; Metazoa; Chordata; Mammalia; Primates; Hominidae.
UUCCUUUUUAGCCCUUUCACCUCAAGUCACAUUUGUUUGCAGACACCACAUCACCAGGACCCCACCAAUAAGACCCAACACUGCCUCCUCAUUUUCCCCGUGAUUUGAGGGGAAGAAAAGGCAAAAACACUUAAAUGAAGGAAUCGAAGACAGCCUUUUGGCCAGCAGACCUUGUCAGCCUUGGGUAAUGCUGUGAUGUGUUUUGAAAAAUGCCAGCAGGCUCAGCCUUGAUAUUUAUGACCCUGCUUCUUGGCCUUCCUGGGGAGUGGUGCUCUCUGCUCUUAAAUUUAUGGUCCUUCAGUGCAGUCCCAGACCAACCAGGGGAUUGCAAAUGGGCUGUCUGCUAAUAGUGUGUGCAGAUGGUGUGGGAGGUGGUGUGAUCCUUGGCUCUGGGGUCAGACACAAGUGCUUCUCACCCGGGGAGGGGUGCUCCGGACCUGAGAAGGGUCUCCUCCAUCUUCUCCUUUGCAAAGCCUCAGAGUUUACAGAGGAAUCAAGGUAUGCUAACCACCUCUCACUAUUUUUGACAUGGCUGCACACCAGUUCCACUUUCUUAAUAUUUAUCUUUUAAUCAACUUGUUGCCCCCUGGAGGCCAGACGACCCAUGGGGCAUAAGACAUGAAGUGCAUGUUCCUGCUAUCCCUGGGCCUGGGCUAAAUUAGGUGGGGACCCCCUUCAGGGCCUUUGCAGAGUUUGGAGACAUGGGGAAGAUCAGGAUCCCCACCUGGCCCCUAGAAGGGAGAUCUCUGAAAGACUAGUUGAAGCUAACAAGCUUAACCUCCCCAAGUCCCUAUGUGUCCACCUGAGCUUGACUUUAUUAAAAAGGCAGGUGGAUUUCCUUUUGAGGAGCUCUGCAAAUCUUGGGGUAAGGAGGAGACAUUAGAGUGAGGGUGAUACCUGUGAUGCCCAACGACCAAUCCCAGAAUGACCCAGGCACAAGAAGGUACUGGAAUUCUUCAGAGGGGCACGAGUAACUACCCCACCUGCCAUACAUUUUCAGGUGGAAAACAAAAGUCACACAGCAGUGCAGAUUUCUCCAGGAAGAACUGCAGCUCGGAAGCCAAGUGUGGACCGGGGCCCUGGGAAGAGACUGCUGAGCCAGGAGUUGUCUGGAAUCCUUGUCUGUUGCAGACCCCAUGACCAGUGAGUGCAACCUCACCACAACCAUUGAUGCUGAAUAGGAACCUGCAAAUCCAAUGGCACUGCCAGAAUCAACUGAAUGGCUCUGAGAAGGCAGCCCUCAGAAAUCUGGGAAAUUCUCUCCUAUGGAUGAUCACAGGUUCUGGGAUGCAGAGCAAACAGGGAGCUAAUGGAAGCACUCAGGAUGAUAGAAUUCUAACUUCAUGAAAACAUGUUUGAUUGUGGGUCCCAGUAAAGAUGUCCCAGUUCUCGGCCAGAAUCUUUUCUGAAGACUGAGCUGGAGGAGGUACCCGUUCUGGAAUGGUCUCAAAUGCAACCUGCAGGUUUGGCCCCCUGGAGGAAGUGAGAAGAAUGGAGAUGAACACGUUUCUUGUGUCAUGUCCUCAUUCUGCCCAAGACAC